RNAcentral lists this ribosomal RNA (441 nucleotides) under uncultured bacterium. Its description in RNAcentral is "partial 16S ribosomal RNA". It matches the Rfam family "Bacterial small subunit ribosomal RNA", at positions 338 to 795 of the family's 1533-position model. The record is from RNAcentral.
CCUACGGGAGGCUGCAGUGGGGGAUAUUGCACAAUGGGGGAAACCCUGAUGCAGCGACGCCGCGUGGGUGAAGAAGUAUUUCGGUAUGUAAAGCCCUAUCAGCAGGGAAGAAAGAAGACGGUACCUGACUAAGAAGCCCCGGCUAACUACGUGCCAGCAGCCGCGGUAAUACGUAGGGGGCGAGCGUUAUCCGGUUUCACUGGGUGUAAAGGGGGCGUAGACGGCCGUGCAAGCUAGGAGUGAAAGCCCGGGGCCCAACCCCGGGACUGCUCUUGGAACUGUGCGGCUGGAGUGCGGGAGGGGCGGGCGGAAUUCCUGGUGUAGCGGUGAAAUGCGUAGAUAUCAGGAGGAACACCGGCGGCGAAGGCGGCCUGCUGGACCGCGACUGACGUUGAGGCUCGAAAGCGUGGGGAGCGAACAGGAUUAGAUACCCCGGUAGUC